UGUUGCCAGCGGUUAGGCCGGGAACUCAAAGGAGACUGCCAGUGAUAAACUGGAGGAAGGUGGGGAUGACGUCAAGUCAUCAUGGCCCUUACGACCAGGGCUACACACGUGCUACAAUGGCAUAUACAAAGAGAAGCGACCUCGCGAGAGCAAGCGGACCUCAUAAAGUAUGUCGUAGUCCGGAUUGGAGUCUGCAACUCGACUCCAUGAAGUCGGAAUCGCUAGUAAUCGUAGAUCAGAAUGCUACGGUGAAUACGUU
Molecule: ribosomal RNA, 259 nt
Filed under: Klebsiella pneumoniae
Lineage: Bacteria; Pseudomonadati; Pseudomonadota; Gammaproteobacteria; Enterobacterales; Enterobacteriaceae
Description: partial 16S ribosomal RNA
Rfam family: Bacterial small subunit ribosomal RNA
Source: RNAcentral